AUUGCCUACGGGGGGCAGCAGUAGGGAAUUUUCGGCAAUGGGCGAAAGCCUGACCGAGCGACGCCGCGUGAACGAAGAAGGUCUUCGGAUUGUAAAGUUCUGUUAUAGAGGAAGAAUGGUGUACGUAGGAAAUGGCGUACAAAUGACGGUACUCUGUGAGGAAGCCACGGCUAACUCCGUGCCAGCAGCCGCGGUAAUACGGAGGAUGCGAGCGUUAUCCGGAUUUAUUGGGUUUAAAGGGUGCGCAGGCGGUCUGUUAAGUCAGCGGUCAAAGCCCGGGGCUCAACCCCGGCCCGCCGUUGAAA
This 305-nucleotide ribosomal RNA is filed under the name uncultured bacterium. Its description in RNAcentral is "bacterial SSU rRNA". It matches the Rfam family "Bacterial small subunit ribosomal RNA", at positions 334 to 632 of the family's 1533-position model. The record is from RNAcentral.